Molecule: unclassified non-coding RNA, 235 nt
Filed under: fungal sp.
Lineage: Eukaryota; Fungi
Description: partial internal transcribed spacer region
Rfam family: Eukaryotic small subunit ribosomal RNA (bases 1-46)
Source: RNAcentral
AAGUCGUAACAAGGUUGCCGUAGGUGAACCUGCGGCAGGAUCAUUAACGAUCAAAAACAAAAGUCGAACUUUUCCUCGGAGAGGUUCGCAAAGCUUGGUGAGAACCGCGUCUCUUUACGUACGCAUUUCUCUGGAAAGUUUUGUCUCUUACGUACGAGGCUUCCCAACCAGGCACCCACAAUCUAUUCAUAUUCAACAUAAAAUAUCGCACCUUCGGUGGAUCACUCGGCUGGUG